RNAcentral lists this ribosomal RNA (346 nucleotides) under uncultured bacterium. RNAcentral describes it as "bacterial SSU rRNA". It matches the Rfam family "Bacterial small subunit ribosomal RNA", at positions 8 to 334 of the family's 1533-position model. The record is from RNAcentral.
AGGGUUCGAUUCUGGCUCAGGAUGAACGCUGGCGGCGUGCUUAACACAUGCAAGUCGAACGAAGCACAUAGGCAGAUUUCUUCGGAUUGAAGCGUAUGUGACUGAGUGGCGGACGGGUGAGUAACGCGUGGGUAACCUGCCUUUCACAGGGGGACAACAGCUGGAAACGGCUGCUAAUACCGCAUAACCCGCUAGGGCCGCAUGGCCCAGACGGAAAAGGAGCAAUCCGGUGGAAGAUGGACCCGCGUCUGAUUAGCUAGUUGGUGGGGUAACGGCCCACCAAGGCGACGAUCAGUAGCCGAACUGAGAGGUUGACCGGCCACAUUGGGACUGAGACACGGCCCAA